CGACUUGAGCGCCAGCGAGAGAGCGUUGCCGCAGGCAACGACCCGAAGGGCGAAGCGUGCAGCGCUGAGUAAUCCUUCCCCCACCACCA
Molecule: small RNA, 89 nt
Filed under: Escherichia coli
Lineage: Bacteria; Pseudomonadati; Pseudomonadota; Gammaproteobacteria; Enterobacterales; Enterobacteriaceae
Description: partial RtT sRNA
Rfam family: RtT RNA
About the family: This family represents a bacterial cis-regulatory element known as RtT RNA. The exact function of RtT is unknown although it is thought that it may be involved in changing the cellular response in relation to amino acid starvation.
Source: RNAcentral